This 1553-nucleotide ribosomal RNA is filed under the name uncultured bacterium. RNAcentral describes it as "16S ribosomal RNA". It matches the Rfam family "Bacterial small subunit ribosomal RNA". The record is from RNAcentral.
AGAGUUUGAUCCUGGCUCAGGAUGAACGCUGGCGGCGUGCUUAACACAUGCAAGUCGAACGAUGACCCGGUGCUUGCACCGGUGAUUAGUGGCGAACGGGUGAGUAACACGUGAGUAACCUGCCCUUAACUCUGGGAUAAGCCUGGGAAACUGGGUCUAAUACCGGAUAUGACUCCUCAUCGCAUGGUGGGGGGUGGAAAGCUUUUUUGUGGUUUUGGAUGGACUCGCGGCCUAUCAGCUUGUUGGUGAGGUAAUGGCUCACCAAGGCGACGACGGGUAGCCGGCCUGAGAGGGUGACCGGCCACACUGGGACUGAAGACACCGGGCCCAGACUCCUACGGGGAGGGCAGCAGUGGGGGAAUUAUUGGCACCAAUGGGGCGGCAAGCCCUGAAUGCAGCGACCGCCGCCGUGAAGGAUUGAACGCCUUUCGGGUUUGUAAACCUUCUUUUCAGCAGGGAAAAAACCGAAAGGUGACCGUACCUGGCCAAAGAAACGCCCGCUAACUACGUUGCCCACAGCCGCCGGUAAUACCUAAGGCGCAAGCCUUAUCCGGAAAUUUUGGGCGUAAAAGAGCUCCUAAGCGGUUUGUCGCGUCUGCCGUGGAAAUCCCGGGCUCACUCCCGGAUCUGCGUUAGACUACACCGACAAGACCUAAGUGUAUCUACGUGAGACUGCGAAUUCCUCGUGUAACGGUGUUAAUGCGCCAAUAUCGACGAGUAACACUCGAUGCCGACGGCUAGUCUCUGGGCUAUUAAUCGACCGCUGAGGAGCGACAGCAGUGGCGGAGCGCACAGGAUUAGAUAACCUGGUGUAGUCCAUGGCCGUAAACGCUUGGGACAUUAGAGUGUGUGGGGACAAUUCCACCGUUUUGCCGCGCCGUAGCAUAACGCUAUUAAGUGCUCGCCUCGGGAGUACGUGCCAGCACGUCUAAAACUCAUGAGAGGAAUUGCGGCGGGGCCCCGCACAAAGCGGCGGAGCAUGCGGAUUAUUUCGAUGCAACCGCGAAGAACCUUACCCAAGGCUUGACAUGGACCGGACCCGCCCCCAGAAAGUGGUUUCCCCUUUGGGCCCGGUUCCCAGGUGGUGCAUGGUUGUCGUCAACUUCGUUCGUGAAGAUGUUGGGUUAAGUCCCCCCAACGAGCGCACCCCUCGUUCCAUGUUGCCAGCGCGUAAUGGGCGGGGACUCAUGGGAGACUGCCCGGGGUCAACUCGGAGGAAGGUGGGGACGACGUCAAAUCACCAUGCCCCUUAUGUCUUGGGCUUCACGCAUGCUACAAUGGCCGGUACAAAGGGUUGCGAUACUGUGAGGUGGAGCUAAUCCCAAAAAGCCGGUCUCAGUUCGGAUUGGGGUCUGCAACUCGACCCCAUGAAGUCGGAGUCGCUAGUAAUCGCAGAUCAGCAACGCUGCGGUGAAUACGUUCCCGGGCCUUGUACACACCGCCCGUCAAGUCACGAAAGUUGGUAACACCCGAAGCCGGUGGCCUAACCCCUUGUGGGAGGGAGCCGUCGAAGGUGGGACUGGCGAUUGGGAUUAAGUCGUAACAAGGUAACC